RNAcentral lists this ribosomal RNA (504 nucleotides) under uncultured bacterium. Its description in RNAcentral is "bacterial SSU rRNA". It matches the Rfam family "Bacterial small subunit ribosomal RNA", at positions 903 to 1397 of the family's 1533-position model. The record is from RNAcentral.
AAAUGAAUAGACGGGGACCCGCACAAGCGGUGGAACAUGUGGUUUAAUUCGAAGCAACGCGAAGAACCUUACCAGGGCUUGACAUCUGAGGAACUUUUUGGAAACAGAAAGGUGCUCUUCGGAGAACCUCAAGACAGGUGGUGCACGGUUGUCGUCAGCUCGUGUCGUGAGAUGUUGGGUUAAGUCCCGCAACGAGCGCAACCCUCGUCGUUAGUUGCAUAUAUCGGUAUACUGAUAUAUUGCUCUCUAGCGAGACUGCCGGUGAUAAACCGGAGGAAGGUGGGGACGACGUCAAAUCAUCAUGCCCCUUAUGCUCUGGGCUACACACGUGUUACAAUGGCUAAGACAACGAGUCGCCAACUCGCGAGAGUGAGCAAAUCUCUUAAACUUAGUCUCAGUUCGGAUUGCACUCUGAAACUCGAGUGCAUGAAGUCGGAAUCGCUAGUAACUGCAGAUCAGCACGCUGCAGUGAAUACGUUCCCGGGUCUUGUACACACCGCCCGU